UACAGAGGGUGCAAGCGUUAAUCGGAAUUACUGGGCGUAAAGCGCACGUAGGUGGUUUGGCAAGUUGGAUGUGAAAGCCCUGGGCUUAACCUGGGAACUGCAUUCAAUACUACCAAACUAGAGUAGGGUAGAGGGAAGUGGAAUUUCCGGUGUAGCGGUGAAAUGCGUAGAUAUCGGAAGGAACACCAGUGGCGAAGGCGGCUUCCUGGACUCAUACUGACACUGAGGUGCGAAAGCGUGGGGAGCAAACAGG
This 253-nucleotide ribosomal RNA is filed under the name uncultured bacterium. Its description in RNAcentral is "partial 16S ribosomal RNA". It matches the Rfam family "Bacterial small subunit ribosomal RNA", at positions 524 to 776 of the family's 1533-position model. The record is from RNAcentral.